CAAAGGGUUCGAUUCUGGCUCAGAACGAACGCUGGCGGCGCGUCUUAAGCAUGCAAGUCGAACGGCAAGGAAGUGCUUGCACUUCCCUAGAGUGGCGGACUGGUGAGUAACACGUGGGUGACAUACCUUUAGUUGGGGAUAGCUAUUAGAAAUAGUAGAUAAUACCGAAUGUGACCAUUACAGUUAGAGUGUAAUGAGGAAAGGAGCUAAGGCUCCGCUAGAAGAUUGGCCCGCGGCCCAUUAGCUAGUUGGUGAGGUAACGGCCCACCAAGGCAAUGAUGGGUAUCCGGCCUGAGAGGGUGAUCGGACACAUUGGGACUGAGAUACGGCCCAGACUCCUACGGGAGGCAGCAGCUAAGAAUAUUCCACAAUGGACGAAAGUCUGAUGGAGCGACGCCGCGUGGAAUGAUGAAGGCCGAAAGGUUGUAAAAUCCUUUUAAACUGGAAGAAUAAUCAUGGUAGGGAAUGACCGUGAGGUGACCGUACAGUUUGAAUAAGCAACGGCUAAUUACGUGCCAGCCGCGGC
RNAcentral lists this ribosomal RNA (526 nucleotides) under uncultured bacterium. Its description in RNAcentral is "bacterial SSU rRNA". It matches the Rfam family "Bacterial small subunit ribosomal RNA", at positions 1 to 518 of the family's 1533-position model. The record is from RNAcentral.